RNAcentral lists this ribosomal RNA (253 nucleotides) under uncultured bacterium. RNAcentral's name for it is "partial 16S ribosomal RNA". It matches the Rfam family "Bacterial small subunit ribosomal RNA", at positions 524 to 776 of the family's 1533-position model. The record is from RNAcentral.
UACGGAGGGUGCAAGCGUUGUUCGGAAUUACUGGGCGUAAAGAGCGUGUAGGCGGCUGACCAAGUCCGGUGUGAAAGCCCGGGGCUUACCCCCGGAAGUGCGCUGGAAACUGGUCGACUAGAGUAUGGGAGAGGGAAGUGGAAUUCCUGGUGUAGCGGUGAAAUGCGUAGAUAUCAGGAGGAACACCGGCGGCGAAGGUGGCUUCCGGGACCAAUAUUGACUCUGAGACGCGAAAGCGUGGGGAGCAAACAGG